UGGAUUGUUCCCUUUACAAGGAUGUAGUGACCUUCAUUGUCUCUCUUAAUCAGUUUUGGUUUGAAAUUUACUUUGUCUGUGAAUAAUAUAGCUACCCCUGCGUUUUUCUGGGCUCCUGUCACAUGGAGAACUGUUUUCCAUCCUUUCACUUUCAGUCUAUGAGUUUCUUUUUGAACUAGGCGUGUUUCUUGUAUACAACAUAUUGCUGGAUUUUGCUUCUUAAUCCAUUCUGCCAGUCUAUUUCUUUUGAUAGGUGAAUUGAGGCCAUUGAUAUCGAUGGUCAUAACUCAUGUAUUGACUUAUCAUUGUCAUGUUAUUGUCCUAUUCUUGGCUCUUUUUAAUUUCCCCCCGCUCUUCAGUUAAGAAACUAAAUUGCCUCAUUGAUUUGUUCUGUUGGGACUCAUGGUGUUGUGACUUUCAUUGUCUUUUUCUAGGAUAUUGUUUAGAAUUGUUUGUAGUGCUGGUUUGGUAUUCAUGAAGUUCCUAAGAUUCUGGAGGUGGAAGAGGAGGAACCACAAGCUCCCCACACUGCUAGGAGCCACUACUGGAGCUCAAUUCUGGUUUGAUGAUGGCAUGCAGUGAGCAGCCAGGUGUCUUUCUGAAGAAUAAUUUUUGGGAGGAUUAGGAGAAAACGCUUGCUCCAGUUCCUGAUAAUUGAUCUGCAAGGUUUCAAUUUAAGUCGCAAAUUGCUCCCAUUACCCAGGCCACAGUGUUCUCCUCUAUGAAGCAUGCAGUUUGGAGAGAGCAUCUCAAGUGUCUGAGCACUUUUCGGCACUGACACUCUUAAGGUCCAAAUGCUCCAGGUCCAACUUGGUUGGAGCAGCAGCCUCAGCAUCAGGCUGGUUUGAGCUUGGUGCCCACCUCAGCCACUGCGGAGCCAAAUGGCUUUUUACCAUCAAUUUCAUACUCACAGCAGCUCAGCUUCACCAAUGGUAAAACUCAGACAAAAACAAAAAGCAGCUGACAUCUCAGAGUUUUGCUACCACUCUUAUGAGGAUGGGAGGAGAGGCUCCACACAGAGCCCAGCUCGGGGAGUUAGGGAGAAAGGGGAGUCAAUCACUUCAGCCAUCUAGGACCCAGAUUCCACGCUGGUGCCAAGAAGAGCAGCUGCCAGCAAACAGGAAAGGGGAAGGUGAGCUUGGGCAGGUAUGGUUAAACAAUGAUGGGAGGAACUUGCUUUAUAACUUUACCUGAGCAGCUCCCCUCCUGUUACAAUGAUUGUUAUCUGAUACUACUCAUUUGCAGUCUACCAGGCAGGGAAGAGAAAGAGUUACACAGGCUCCAGACACAAAUGCAUGAACACAUGUGUGCACAACACACACACACACACACA
Molecule: long non-coding RNA, 1333 nt
Filed under: Fukomys damarensis (Damara mole-rat)
Lineage: Eukaryota; Metazoa; Chordata; Mammalia; Rodentia; Bathyergidae
Description: lncRNA (ENSFDAG00000026816.1)
Source: RNAcentral